AGAGUUUGAUCCUGGCUCAGGAUGAACGCUGGCGGCGUGCCUAAUACAUGCAAGUCGAGCGAACGGACGAGAAGCUUGCUUCUCUGAUGUUAGCGGCGGACGGGUGAGUAACACGUGGAUAACCUACCUAUAAGACUGGGAUAACUUCGGGAAACCGGAGCUAAUACCGGAUAAUAUUUUGAACCGCAUGGUUCAAAAGUGAAAGACGGUCUUGCUGUCACUUAUAGAUGGAUCCGCGCUGCAUUAGCUAGUUGGUAAGGUAACGGCUUACCAAGGCAACGAUGCAUAGCCGACCUGAGAGGGUGAUCGGCCACACUGGAACUGAGACACGGUCCAGACUCCUACGGGAGGCAGCAGUAGGGAAUCUUCCGCAAUGGGCGAAAGCCUGACGGAGCAACGCCGCGUGAGUGAUGAAGGUCUUCGGAUCGUAAAACUCUGUUAUUAGGGAAGAACAUAUGUGUAAGUAACUGUGCACAUCUUGACGGUACCUAAUCAGAAAGCCACGGCUAACUACGUGCCAGCAGCCGCGGUAAUACGUAGGUGGCAAGCGUUAUCCGGAAUUAUUGGGCGUAAAGCGCGCGUAGGCGGUUUUUUAAGUCUGAUGUGAAAGCCCACGGCUCAACCGUGGAGGGUCAUUGGAAACUGGAAAACUUGAGUGCAGAAGAGGAAAGUGGAAUUCCAUGUGUAGCGGUGAAAUGCGCAGAGAUAUGGAGGAACACCAGUGGCGAAGGCGACUUUCUGGUCUGUAACUGACGCUGAUGUGCGAAAGCGUGGGGAUCAAACAGGAUUAGAUACCCUGGUAGUCCACGCCGUAAACGAUGAGUGCUAAGUGUUAGGGGGUUUCCGCCCCUUAGUGCUGCAGCUAACGCAUUAAGCACUCCGCCUGGGGAGUACGACCGCAAGGUUGAAACUCAAAGGAAUUGACGGGGACCCGCACAAGCGGUGGAGCAUGUGGUUUAAUUCGAAGCAACGCGAA
RNAcentral lists this ribosomal RNA (976 nucleotides) under Staphylococcus aureus T39328. RNAcentral's name for it is "bacterial SSU rRNA". It matches the Rfam family "Bacterial small subunit ribosomal RNA", at positions 8 to 965 of the family's 1533-position model. Lineage: Bacteria; Bacillati; Bacillota; Bacilli; Caryophanales; Staphylococcaceae. The record is from RNAcentral.